Pelobates cultripes (western spadefoot toad) is the source of this 630-nucleotide non-coding RNA. NCBI's taxonomy places the organism in Eukaryota, Metazoa, Chordata, Amphibia, Anura, Pelobatidae. The record is from the annotation of a GenBank genome assembly.
CAUAAAUAUACUGAAUUACCAAACCUUAUAAUUUACACCGAGAAAAUGACAAACCAAAAUAUAAAAACUUUCCAGAGUAUAGGGAGGGAAACAGGGAGGGAAAAUACUCGCCUCCUGUCAUUAUUAAAAUUAAGAUUAUAGGUACACUACGUUAGCAUAAUCUACAAUUUUAUCACAUGACAGGAGGCUUCAUAUUUUGCAUUUUUAAAGCUGUGGUAUGAGCGUGAAGGAUGCGUGUGUGGUUGACGAAAAUAAAUAUACGGAAGUAGUCUAUCCGUGUCCAAUUCGUUGCUGAAAAUAUAGAGGCCCCCUCGUGAAGGCCUGAGAAGCAGCUGCACCUCUUACCGAAUGAGUACCCAAACACGUCUCCACCCUCGCUAGCGAUAACAACCAAUGAACCCAUCUAGACAGAGUGUUCAUGGUAGCUGGCUUGUACGGUUGGUAUAAGACCAGCAGAUGUCCUGAAUGUGACAUUCUAAGUGUUGUUGUGAUCUCCAUGUAACAAAGUACCCCUUUAACUGCACAAAGGCUGGGAAACAGUCGGUAACAGGGAACGAUACGGACACGGAUAAGAUAUAGUUCUACAAGACACUGUAGAAAUUAUUCUUUCUGGUGAUACCGAAAAGACCG